This 1346-nucleotide ribosomal RNA is filed under the name uncultured bacterium. RNAcentral describes it as "partial 16S ribosomal RNA". It matches the Rfam family "Bacterial small subunit ribosomal RNA", at positions 28 to 1381 of the family's 1533-position model. The record is from RNAcentral.
GACGAACGCUGGCGGCGUGCUUAACACAUGCAAGUCGAACGGAAAGGCCCUGCUUUUGUGGGGUGCUCGAGUAGCGAACGGGUGAGUAACACGUGAGUAACCUGCCCUUGACUUUGGGAUAACUUCAGGAAACUGGGGCUAAUACCGGAUAGGAGCUCCUGCUGCAUGGUGGGGGUUGGAAAGUUUCGGCGGUUGGGGAUGGACUCGCGGCUUAUCAGCUUGUUGGUGGGGUAGUGGCUUACCAAGGCUUUGACGGGUAGCCGGCCUGAGAGGGUGACCGGCCACAUUGGGACUGAGAUACGGCCCAGACUCCUACGGGAGGCAGCAGUGGGGAAUAUUGCACAAUGGGCGGAAGCCUGAUGCAGCAACGCCGCGUGCGGGAUGACGGCCUUCGGGUUGUAACCCGCUUUCGCCUGUGACGAAGCGUGAGUGACGGUAAUGGGUAAAGAAGCACCGGCUAACUACGUGCCAGCAGCCGCGGUGAUACGUAGGGUGCGAGCGUUGUCCGGAUUUAUUGGGCGUAAAGGGCUCGUAGGUGGUUGAUCGCGUCGGAAGUGUAAUCUUGGGGCUUAACCCUGAGCGUGCUUUCGAUACGGGUUGACUUGAGGAAGGUAGGGGAGAAUGGAAUUCCUGGUGGAGCGGUGGAAUGCGCAGAUAUCAGGAGGAACACCAGUGGCGAAGGCGGUUCUCUGGGCCUUUCCUGACGCUGAGGAGCGAAAGCGUGGGGAGCGAACAGGCUUAGAUACCCUGGUAGUCCACGCUGUAAACGGUGGGUACUAGGUGUGGGGUCCAUUCCACGGGUUCCGUGCCGUAGCUAACGCUUUAAGUACCCCGCCUGGGGAGUACGGCCGCAAGGCUAAAACUCAAAGGAAUUGACGGGGCCCCGCACAAGCGGCGGAGCAUGCGGAUUAAUUCGAUGCAACGCGUAGAACCUUACCUGGGUUUGACAUGGAUCGGGAGUGCUCAGAGAUGGGUGUGCCUCUUUUGGGGUCGGUUCACAGGUGGUGCAUGCCUGUCGUCAGCUCGUGUCGUGAGAUGUUGGGUUAAGUCCCGCAACGAGCGCAACCCUUGUUCACUGUUGCCAGCACGUUAUGGUGGGGACUCAGUGGAGACCGCCGGGGUCAACUCGGAGGAAGGUGGGGAUGACGUCAAGUCAUCAUGCCCCUUAUGUCCAGGGCUUCACGCAUGCUACAAUGGCUGGUACAGAGAGUGGCGAGCCUGUGAGGGUGAGCGAAUCUCGGAAAGCCGGUCUCAGUUCGGAUUGGGGUCUGCAACUCGACCUCAUGAAGUCGGAGUCGCUAGUAAUCGCAGAUCAGCAACGCUGCGGUGAAUACGUUCCCGGGGCU